CCCUUAGACGUUCUGGGCCGCACGCGCGCUACACUGACCAGUGCAACAAGCAUCCGUCCUUGGCCGACAGGCCCGGGCAAUCUUUGAACGCUGGUCGUGAUGGGGAUAGACUUUUGCAAUUUUUGGUCUUCAACGAGGAAUUCCUAGUAAACGCAAGUCAUCAACUCGCAUUGAUUACGUCCCUGCCCUUUGUACACACCGCCCGUCGCACCUACCGAUUGAAUGGUCCGGUGAAGCCUCCGGAUUGGCGCGCACCUCGGUGCCGCCGAGAAGUUGGCUAAACCUUACCAUUUAGAGGAAGGUGAAGUCGUAACA
This 315-nucleotide ribosomal RNA is filed under the name uncultured eukaryote. Its description in RNAcentral is "partial 18S ribosomal RNA". It matches the Rfam family "Eukaryotic small subunit ribosomal RNA", at positions 1470 to 1796 of the family's 1831-position model. The record is from RNAcentral.